AGACUAGGCCUCACUAACUUGCUCAUGCUGGCUUUAAAUCACUCUCUAGGCCUGCCAGGAGGAAUCUGCAUCUGUGGCUCAUUUGCCUCACCAUCUAUGUCACUGGGGUUACCACCUCCCUUCACUUCAGUCAUUUUGAGGAUAAAAUGACUUAUUAAUAGUAAAGGGUUGCAUAAAUAAAAUAUGCUCUUCUAAGACAAUGUGAUAGGAUGCUAUCAUUAAGAUUGAUAUUUCUGAAAAUAAUUUUUGUGACAUAAAGAUGUGCCACAAACACUAAUAAAAAGCGUUUAAUGAUAAACAUGCAAAAUAUUUUCUUCUCCGUUUUAAUUUUACAUACAUGGGAUCAAUAUACAGAUAUAAGGCUAAGAGAACAGAUCAAAAUAUUAUAGUUAUCCUGAGUUGUGCUUUAAUGUUAUUGAACAAAUAUGCUGGGGACUGAUGCUGUGGUUGAAUGAUAGAGGAAGGAGAAAGGCAAACCAAGAUGCUGAACUAUUUUUGCGAUGUGUUCCUAAUAUGUACUAUGAGUAUAUUGGGGAUGCUUUGCAUUCAUGGUUCUGCAUCCAUCAUAUGGACAGUCACCUCCAAGCUGUAGCACCACCAGUGACCAAAGAGAGAUACUGAGCUGUUUUUGCGAUGUGUUCCUAAUAUGUGCUAUAAUUAUAUUGGGAACAUUUUGCAUAAAUAGCUUUGUGUCAAUACACAGGCAAAAGGUUGGAAGAAAGAAGCUGCAAGUCUAACCAUAGUUGUUUAUGGUUUGUUUUUAUAAUAGGAAUCAGAUACAGAAUUAUUUUUGCAGUAUGUUCCUGAAUACAUAACAUAAGCGUAUUGGGAACAUUUUGCAUGCAUAAUUUUGUAUCAAUAUAUGGGGGGAAGACUAGGAAGAAACAUGACAAAACUUGAACAGAACUUAUGUCUCUGGUAUUACAGGUGAUGUUUAUUGUUGUCUUUAUAUUUUUAUUGUUUUUUUUUACCAAUUAUUGUGUAAACAAAAUGUUUUUCUUUUAUAGCAAAAGAAUAAACUUAUUUUAUUUUA
This is a long non-coding RNA of Mus musculus (house mouse), 1033 nucleotides long. RefSeq annotates it as predicted gene, 57846. The transcript has a single exon. The record is from RefSeq and is marked validated. Lineage: Eukaryota; Metazoa; Chordata; Mammalia; Rodentia; Muridae.